GGUCAUAAACAUUUUCAUAUCUAUUCAUAUAUUUUAGGGCUUUUAUAUAGUUCAAAGCCGGGCAAUGGUUACUCACAGAGCUCUAGAGAUAGUAAGAGUUGCGACACUUCCAUAGGGUCCCGUUGUACGCUUUCUUCCAGUCUACUUCCGGGUUGUGGAGGCUUGUUUAGUUCCAAGCACCGCUUCGACACUGACAGCCACCGUUCAUUUGCACUGCAGGUCGUUGAGUAUAUGUGGAGUAUCCCGAGAGCCCUCACUGAAGACACGAAGACCCUCAUUGUUUCUCCCAUUGUCAAUAAAAACAUACUAUUUCAUUCAUCAAAGCAUAAUGAGUUGUUAUUCUUGAAUAUAUAUUUUGUGUAUGUCUUAAAAUGGUUAUAGUGAGUCAACUCCUGCCUCAUCAGAAGUGGCUGGACACUAUCUGCUGAAUGGACUGUUGUUACUCUGCUUUUCAAUAACUCCCAGACGACGGGUAAGUGAAUCAGAGAAAUAUAGACAUUGUCUGGAAAUACAAUAAUCCAGCUGGGCAAAAAUUAACAUCUUCAAUCAUCUUACAUUUCUGUGUAAAAUGCUAUGCUAAUACGAAUGUGAAACAUUCCCUCCAAAACCCCAAAAGUGUCUUUAAUAUGUCACCUUACGGCUCAAAAUGUAAAACUGACAUUUACAUACAUACUCCAAUGAAUUAAUAAUCGUGAAAUCGCCGCUCUCAGUCCCAUAGAAGGAAAUGACAUCGCUGCCUGUUUGGAACUAUUCAGGCUUACAUGAACCACGUGACCGCCCCGCUGCGAGAGCAUGAGUGUCGCAACUCUUACUAUCUCUAUGGCUCUGGAACUAUUCAGGCUUACAUGAACCACGUGACCGCCCCGCUGCGAGAGCAUGAGUGUCGCAACUCUUACUAUCUCUAAGGCUCUGGUUACUCACCGUUCUCUUGCUUUGACGUCAGGGGCACGCCCCCGUUGGCCUCACUUCCUGUUUACAUUUUACCGACAGGUAUGGUAGCAGUUGCUGCAUCGUUUGCUCUUUGUUUAAGGCUGUUUUCGUGUGUUGUGGUUAUAGUAGCCAUUUAUUAUUCUCAUAGAGUCACCGUGGUGCGUCAGAAGUGAGCCGCAUGCAGGCUGCGUUUUGUGUGUGUUUCCAGUCCGACCUGUCAGCCGCUCGUGGCCCGUUACCGCUAGGUCCUUUAUGCUUGCUAUCGUGUGCUGUGGUUAUAUUGCAUGCAUAUAACCGCUUGUCAUUUUAGGCUGUUAUUUUGGCUGCGGGUUGUUGCCUGUUCUGUCCUUCUGGACCGAUGCACUGACCCGCGUGGCCGCCGUUUGUAGUGAUGGCUGAUCGAGGCUUUGUUGAAGCUUCGACACUUCAUUCAAAACAUGGUUCAUUACUCGAGGCUUCAAUGACACACAGUGCUCCAGUAGGACAUCUAGUGGUCAAUAAAAUGAAAUGCAAUUGAGACGUGGUAAUUGGUUCAUGGAUUGUUUUGGAUUUGAUAGGCCAUGUACACAUUGGUAUUUAACUGCACUAGAUGAUUGUAUAGGUUCUCGCCGAGAACAACAACAACAAUAAUAAUAAUUAUUAUUAUUGAAGAGCAUGUUUCUUAUUUGCCAUGUCUGUAACCCUAUGUACUUUUCACUUAUAUUCUGUGUGAUUAAACAUUUAAAUGGUGCUGAUA
Acanthochromis polyacanthus (spiny chromis) is the source of this 1666-nucleotide long non-coding RNA. RefSeq lists it as uncharacterized. NCBI's taxonomy places the organism in Eukaryota, Metazoa, Chordata, Actinopteri, Pomacentridae. The record is from RefSeq and is a predicted model, not a curated record. The transcript has 2 exons.